This 70-nucleotide transfer RNA is filed under the name Dermacentor everestianus. Its description in RNAcentral is "tRNA-Lys". It matches the Rfam family "tRNA". Rfam says of the family: Transfer RNA (tRNA) molecules are approximately 80 nucleotides in length. Their secondary structure includes four short double-helical elements and three loops (D, anti-codon, and T loops). Lineage: Eukaryota; Metazoa; Arthropoda; Arachnida; Ixodida; Ixodidae. The record is from RNAcentral.
CAUUGAAUGGCUGAAAUUUAAAAGCAAUGGUCUCUUAAACCAAUUUAUAGUUAUUAUUAACUUUCAAUGA